GACGAACGCUGGCGGCGUGCUUAACACAUGCAAGUCGAACGGAAAGGCCCCUUCGGGGGUACUCGAGGGGCGAACGGGGGAGGAACACGGGAGUAACCUGCCCUUGACUUCGGGAUAACGGCAGGAAACUGGGGCUAAUACCGGAAAGGAAGCCUUGCUGCAUGGGGGGGGUUGGAAAGCUUCGGCGGUUUUGGAUGGACUCGCGGCCUAUCAGCGUGUUGGUGGGGUAGUGGCUUACCGAGGCUUUGGCGGGUAGCCGGCCUGAGAGGGCGACCGGCCACCUUGGGACUGACAGUCGGCCCCGGCUCCUACGGGUGGCCGCUGUGGGGAAUCUUGCACCAUGGGCGGCAGCCUGAUGCAGCAGCGCCGCGUGCGGGAUGACGGCCUUCGGGUUGUAAACCGCUUUCAGCAGGGGCGCCGCUUGUGGUGACGGUACCUGCAGAAGAAGCACCGGCUAACUACGUG
Molecule: ribosomal RNA, 465 nt
Filed under: uncultured bacterium
Lineage: Bacteria
Description: partial 16S ribosomal RNA
Rfam family: Bacterial small subunit ribosomal RNA
Source: RNAcentral